Small nuclear RNA from Mirounga angustirostris (Northern elephant seal), 105 nucleotides. NCBI's taxonomy places the organism in Eukaryota, Metazoa, Chordata, Mammalia, Carnivora, Phocidae. The record is from RefSeq and is a predicted model, not a curated record.
GUGCUCCCUCGGGCAGCAUGUGUACUAAAAUUGGAAUGAUACAGAAGAUUAGCAUGGCCCCUGCACAAGGAUGACAUGUCAAUUCAUGAAGCCAUCAGGCAUAAG